AGACCCUGACACGCUUUCAACGUAUAUCGAUGAGCUUGCAACUCAACAUGAACUUCACUACAGAGUC
RNAcentral lists this transfer RNA (67 nucleotides) under Pterocles coronatus (crowned sandgrouse). RNAcentral describes it as "tRNA-Cys". Lineage: Eukaryota; Metazoa; Chordata; Aves; Pterocliformes; Pteroclidae. The record is from RNAcentral.